UACGUAGGCAGCGAGCGUUGUUCGGAAUUACUGGGCGUAAAGAGUGUGUAGGCGGUGCUCUAAGUUUCGGUGUGAAAUCUCCUGCUCAAACUGGGAGGGUGCGCCGGAAACUGGAGUGCUUGAGCGUGGGAGAGGAAAGCGGAAUUCCUGGUGUAGCGGUGAAAUGCGUAGAUAUCAGGAGGAACACCUGUGGUGUAGACGCUUCUGGACCAUAGCUGACGCUGAGACACGAAAGCGUGGGUAGCAAACAGG
RNAcentral lists this ribosomal RNA (252 nucleotides) under uncultured bacterium. Its description in RNAcentral is "partial 16S ribosomal RNA". It matches the Rfam family "Bacterial small subunit ribosomal RNA", at positions 524 to 776 of the family's 1533-position model. The record is from RNAcentral.